GGUUUCAAAAUGGGUUACAAGGGAUAAUGUCAGGUGUAAGGUAGGCUGAACAAAGAAAAAAAUUGGUUUAAAGUGUGGCGUUGGGAUGGAUAAAUAAUGGUAGGAAGGGAUACUUGAUGAUCGGAGUAAUAAGAGAUGAAAAUAAAACUCGCAAGACUUUUCACUUCUUCUUUUUUUACUCUUUUUUUUUGCUCACUUCUUUUUUUCGAAUUUUUUUCGAAUUUUUUUUUUGAAUUUUGAUUUUUUUUGUGAUACUCCAAUACAAUAGUAAGGUAAAUACAAGGAAGGAAAAAAAAUUAAAUUACAACUCGAAAUUUUUUUUGAUUUUUUUUCACGUUCCGAACCUGAUGUGCGCACGCUCACACCAACAAAGCAAACUGAUCCGGAGGUCUUACCAUUAGGACCUAUUACUCGAUCUAGGGCAAAGAAAUUCAGGGAAGCCUUGUUCCUUACUUGUGCUACGAUUCCAGAUUUAUUCGAUCAUGUUCAUGCCUUAGAACAUAGGCUUUAUAACAUGUUGCAUGCUGAUAUGUGAAGUAUUUAGGUUCUACUA
RNAcentral lists this long non-coding RNA (553 nucleotides) under Gossypium raimondii (Peruvian cotton). Its description in RNAcentral is "long non-coding RNA (GRAI_LNC001998)". The record is from RNAcentral. Lineage: Eukaryota; Viridiplantae; Streptophyta; Magnoliopsida; Malvales; Malvaceae.